CUGCUAGGGCCGGCUGGUUCCUCUGGUAUCCAACUGCCCACCAGAGACGCCACGCGGGGCAGGAGACGCCCUCGCCGCCCUGCUAGGGCCGGCUGGUUCCUCUGGUACCCACCUACCAGAGACACCACACGGGGCAGGAGACACCCUCGCUGCCCUGCUAAGGUCGGCUGGUUCCCCUGGUACCCACCUACCAGAAACGCCAUGCGGGGCAGGAGACGCCCUCGCCGCCCUGCUAGGGUCGGCUGGUUCCCCUGGUACCCACCUACCAGAGACGCCACGCGGGGCAGGAGACGCCCUCGCCACCCUGCUAGGGUCGGCUGCUCCUCCUGGUACCCGCCUACCAGACACCACACCGAGGAGAAGACCCCUCUCGCCGCCCUGCCCAGCCAGAGUGAGGAGUGCGCUUCCCUAUUCCCUCAUGCCUCUCCAAAGUAUCUGGCUGCCCCAUCAUUGCGAGCGGCUGAUCAGACCCCUCCUCUGGCUCUGCCAAGCCCAGGCAGCCCCAUCGGCUCCUCCUUGCUGCUGAGUUCCCGACCCACCUAAUGUGGCAGGGGGAGAAGGAACCUGCCACCCCCCUCUGCGUCCUGCCCAGCUGGAGCUGUGUCCCGUGGGGCACUGCCCUCUCCCCUCAGUGCUGCCCAGGGAGCUGGGUGCUGGGGUGGCUCGCGAGUGAUGGGCUGUGCCGGGGUUUGGCCGGCAGGACAGAGAGCCAGCCCCCCUCGCUCUCAUUUCCCUGGGGCUCCCCACGGGGCGUGCGCUGUGCUCCCUGACAGUGGUAUCCCGGAGCCCUUGUAGGGAGCUCCCUGCUGCCUGGGGGAGCCGGCCAGCGCCGUCACCCCCUUCCCGGCUGUAUUUAACAAGCUGUAUUUAUGAUGAGGCGUUCCAUUCUAGCUCGAUGGAUAAAGGGCCGAUGACGUUGUCUUGGGAUGGCUGAGGCUGGCCGACCGGGCCAGGAGUCCAGCCAGGUCUCUCCUGCGCAUCCCUUCGCCUCAUUUCUCCUCUUCCCCCUCCCCGAGAGUCCAGUGCUGGACGGACCCUGCAAGUGAUCAAUAAACCCUGCAGAAAAGA
Molecule: long non-coding RNA, 1068 nt
Organism: Gopherus flavomarginatus (Mexican gopher tortoise)
Lineage: Eukaryota; Metazoa; Chordata; Testudines; Testudinidae
Exons: 2
Source: RefSeq, a predicted model, not a curated record